This 164-nucleotide small nuclear RNA is filed under the name Sus scrofa (pig). RNAcentral's name for it is "U1 spliceosomal RNA (ENSSSCG00060046163.1)". It matches the Rfam family "U1 spliceosomal RNA". Rfam says of the family: U1 is a small nuclear RNA (snRNA) component of the spliceosome (involved in pre-mRNA splicing). Its 5' end forms complementary base pairs with the 5' splice junction, thus defining the 5' donor site of an intron. There are significant differences in sequence and secondary structure between metazoan and yeast U1 snRNAs, the latter being much longer (568 nucleotides as compared to 164 nucleotides in human). The record is from RNAcentral. Lineage: Eukaryota; Metazoa; Chordata; Mammalia; Artiodactyla; Suidae.
AUACUUACCUGGCAGGGGAGAUACCAUCAUCACCAAGGUGGUUUUACCAGGGUGAGGCUUAUUCAUUGCACUCCAGUUAUGCUGACCCCUGCGAUUUCCCUAAAUGUGGGACCCUCAACUGCAUAAUUUAGGGGACUAAAANUCCCCAAAUGUGGGACCCUCAA